UACGGGGGGAGCAAGCGUUGUUCGGAUUUACUGGGCGUAAAGGGCGCGUAGGCGGUCGUGACAGGUCACUUGUGAAAUCUCCGGGCUUAACUCGGAACGGUCAAGUGAUACUGUCGGACUAGAGUACAGAAGGGGCAACUGGAAUUCUCGGUGUAGCGGUGAAAUGCGUAGAUAUCGAGAGGAACACCUGCGGCGAAGGCGGGUUGCUGGGCUGAUACUGACGCUGAGGCGCGAAAGCCAGGGGAGCGAACGGGG
RNAcentral lists this ribosomal RNA (255 nucleotides) under uncultured bacterium. RNAcentral describes it as "partial 16S ribosomal RNA". It matches the Rfam family "Bacterial small subunit ribosomal RNA", at positions 524 to 777 of the family's 1533-position model. The record is from RNAcentral.